Long non-coding RNA from Silurus meridionalis, 902 nucleotides. RefSeq lists it as uncharacterized. NCBI's taxonomy places the organism in Eukaryota, Metazoa, Chordata, Actinopteri, Siluriformes, Siluridae. The record is from RefSeq and is a predicted model, not a curated record. The transcript has 3 exons.
GUCGGAUGGGUAUUUUUUUGAAAUCUGUUAGUGGGGAAAGAAUGUAUCUCCCAUCUUCUCAUCUGAGUUCAAGUUAAGCCUAUUAAAUGUCCCGAACUUAUUCGCUUGACAUUUUGGAUGAUCAAAGAAAAAGCGUCUCAACAUUUUUUUUUGUCACAUAAUAAUCCAUGUGUGUGUGUUUCCAGUGACCACUGUUCCUGCCCCUCUUUGCUCUGUGGCUCUUCCCACUUCGUCCAGGCCUGCCUCUGGAUAGUGUUCUCGUCGUUUGGCGGUCACACUGUGCAGCUGGGAACUGUUUCUCAACGCCUUGGGUGGAUCCAUGAAAUUCCAGAGUGAAAGGAUUCAUGGCCUCUUGCAGGUGUCAUGUGUUCAAACUCCUCAGACUGGUGAACGUCACUGGUUUCUGAAUUCAUCCGACUCCUCGGCAGUAUUAGUGGGUUUUUCUACUCACAACCCAGCUUCAUCUCAAAAAAGGCUGGUUAAUUGAAGCAGCUGUUGUGGGUUUUAAAGAAAACCAGAGCUGGAUUGUGGGGGUUCAAGACCAAGCAUGUGUGCGCGUGCGGCUUGGUGUGUCUAGUUUGGAGUAUCGGGUGUAAAUGACCAUGAAGAACUUGUAGGUAAUGAAGUUUCUACAGUGAGAUACGAGGCCUUGGAGACACCUGAAGCUCACUCGAAAUGUCAAUAUGAACUCUAUGAAAUAAAGUACCGACGUCUGUCUCUAGUGUUUUUUCACGUUAAAAUGUGUGACAAAGAAAUAAACCUAAAUACGGUGGUUAUGGAUGAGAAUUCAAGCAUGCAACAUGAAUAACACAGUUUGUGGUGUGUUUUUAAAUAUGAUGUGAAUGCAUUGGAAUUUUGUAUAUAUACACAACUCCAUAUAUGAAUUUUGGGAUUCCAUUACA